UACGAAGGGGGCUAGCGUUGCUCGGAAUUACUGGGCGUAAAGGGCGCGUAGGCGGAUAGCUUAGUCAGAGGUGAAAGCCCAGGGCUCAACCUUGGAAUUGCCUUUGAUACUGGCUGUCUUGAGUUCGGGAGAGGUGAGUGGAAUGCCGAGUGUAGAGGUGAAAUUCGUAGAUAUUCGGCGGAACACCAGUGGCGAAGGCGACUCACUGGCCCGAUACUGACGCUGAAACACGAAAGCGUGGGGAGCAAACAGG
This 253-nucleotide ribosomal RNA is filed under the name uncultured bacterium. Its description in RNAcentral is "partial 16S ribosomal RNA". It matches the Rfam family "Bacterial small subunit ribosomal RNA", at positions 524 to 776 of the family's 1533-position model. The record is from RNAcentral.